Molecule: long non-coding RNA, 743 nt
Filed under: Nicotiana tabacum (common tobacco)
Lineage: Eukaryota; Viridiplantae; Streptophyta; Magnoliopsida; Solanales; Solanaceae
Description: long non-coding RNA (NTAB_LNC009945)
Source: RNAcentral
GAACCUCUGCUUCAAAGGUUUCCUACAUAUCCUUGGCUAUAAAGGAAUCAGGUCAAUGUAGUUCGGGAAUUUUUGGUAGCUGGGACUACCGUGGGACUGUGAUGUUACUGCUGUUUCGUGCUGUUUUUACUGCUUACUGACCUCCUUAUUACACCUUACUUUAAAUGAAAUACAAAAUUAAGCUUGAUUAUGGUACAAGAAUUAUAAAAAUCUUAUCUAGAUCAUGCCCUUGUUUCUUGUUGUCUUGAUAUCUUGGUGAAUCUUGGGCAUUUGGCUUAUUCCGUAUUCCUCUUGGAACUCUUUGUUGUUUCUUGCUGGGGAUUCUGUUGGACUCCUCUGCUUUAUUGAUUCUAAGUGUGCUCCUUUCUCACAUGAGUGGGCUUUUGGUUUCAACACUUCAAUUUCAUUCCAUCGUUCUUCAGGUGGGUGCCUUGACUGCUUCUUUUCUUUCUCAUCCUCAUUCUCCAGGUGGACGCCUGACUUCUUCUUUUCUCAUCCUCAUUCUCCAGGUGGACGCCUGACUUCUUUAAUUCUCAUCCUCAUUCUCCAGGUGGAUGCCUGACUUCUUUAAUUCUCAUCCUCAUGACUUCUUUAAUUCUCAUCCUCAUUCUCCAGGUGGAUGCCUGACUUCUUCAAUUCUUCAUCCUCAUUCUCCAGGUGGACGCCUGACUUCUUCAAUUCUUCAUCCUCAUUCUCCAGGUGGACGCCUGACUUCUUUAAUUUUCAUCCUCAUUCUCCAGGUG